UAACACGGGCCCAAAAGAAUAGUGUCAAGGAAACUGAAACCCCCAAAUGAGGCCAUUUCAGCCCAAUGUCAAGAAACUUCGUUAAUGGAACUGG
Lutra lutra (Eurasian river otter) is the source of this 94-nucleotide long non-coding RNA. RefSeq lists it as uncharacterized. The record is from RefSeq and is a predicted model, not a curated record. NCBI's taxonomy places the organism in Eukaryota, Metazoa, Chordata, Mammalia, Carnivora, Mustelidae. The transcript has 2 exons.